UAUAGUGGCCGAUUAGGUGUUAGUCUCUUAAACUAGUUAAGGAUAAUAUAGUUAAAUUA
RNAcentral lists this transfer RNA (59 nucleotides) under Cheiracanthium brevispinum. RNAcentral's name for it is "tRNA-Lys". The record is from RNAcentral. Lineage: Eukaryota; Metazoa; Arthropoda; Arachnida; Araneae; Cheiracanthiidae.